This 632-nucleotide ribosomal RNA is filed under the name uncultured bacterium. RNAcentral describes it as "bacterial SSU rRNA". It matches the Rfam family "Bacterial small subunit ribosomal RNA", at positions 159 to 809 of the family's 1533-position model. The record is from RNAcentral.
GCUGCUAAUACCGCAUAAGCCUGCUGUGCCGCAUGACACAGCAGGGAAAACCACGGUGGUACAGGAUGGGCCCGCGUCUGAUUAGUUAGUUGGCAGGGUAACGGCUUACCAAGACAACGAUCAGUAGCCGGCUUGAGAGAGUGGACGGCCACAUUGGGACUGAGACACGGCCCAGACUCCUGCGGGAGGCAGCAGUGGGGAAUAUUGCACAAUGGGGGGAACCCUGAUGCAGCAAUGCCGCGUGGGUGAAGAAGCACUCCGGUGCGUAAAGCCCUGUCAGCAGGGAAGAAAAUGACAGUACCUGGACAAGAAGCCCCGGCUAACUACGUGCCAGCAGCCGCGGUAAUACGUAGGGGGCAAGCGUUAUCCGGAUUUACUGGGUGUAAAGGGAGCGCAGGCGGCGUGGCAAGUCGGAUGUGAAAACCCGGGGCCCAACCCCGGGAGUGCAUUUGAAACUGCCAUGCUGGAGUGCCGGAGAGGUAAGCGGAAUUCCUAGUGUAGCGGUGAAAUGCGUAGAUAUUAGGAGGAACACCAGUGGCGGAGGCGGCUUACUGGACGGUAACUGACGCUGAGGCUCGAAAGCGUGGGGAGCAAACAGGAUUAGAUACCCUGGUAGUCCACGCCGUAAACGA